Molecule: RNA transcript, 1790 nt
Organism: Fragaria vesca subsp. vesca
Lineage: Eukaryota; Viridiplantae; Streptophyta; Magnoliopsida; Rosales; Rosaceae
Gene name: (+)-neomenthol dehydrogenase-like
Exons: 7
Source: RefSeq, a predicted model, not a curated record
GAUCAAGUCCAUGAAAGUAUUGAUUCCUCGUAGUUUACAAGAAAAGGUACAGACAAAAGCAAAACGACAUAGUUUUAUCAUAGCCUUGCCCAGUUUACUGGAAUCUACUUUCAACGGCUUUAUAAAGGAAGAGUACCAAGGCUUUCUCUUGUCUCAAAUCUCAAGACCCAUCAAUGGCAGAAUCAACUAAGAGGUAUGCAGUUGUGACAGGAUCAAACAAAGGAAUCGGAUUCGAGACUGUAAGGCAAUUGGCCACAAAGGGAAUCACUGUGGUCUUAACUGCUAGAGAUGAGAAGAGGGGCCUUGAAGCUGUGGAGAAACUUAAAAUGUCUGGCCUCUCAGGGCAAGUGGUUUUCCACCAACUUGAUGUGGCUGACCCUGCUAGUAUUGCUUCUCUGGCCCAAUUCAUCAAAACACAGUUCGGGAAACUCGAUAUCCUGGUCAACAAUGCCGGGAUUGGUGGAGUUAUAGUUGAUACUGAUGGUUAUAAAGCUGCAUCUGGAUCUGCUGCUGAAGGAGGACAGAUUGAUGUGAGAAAGUUCAUGACUGAAACUUAUGAGUCAACAGAAGAAUGCUUGCAAAUCAAUUAUUAUGGUGCUAAAAGAACAGCUGAAGCACUUAUUCCACUCCUCCAGCUAUCCGCUUCACCAAGAAUUGUUAAUGUUGCAUCCUCUAUGGGGAAGUUGGAGAACAUACCAAAGUUUCUAAAAGACUUCAAGGAGGGUUCACUUGAAAUCAAGGGUUGGCCUGCUUCUUUCCUGUCAGGCUAUACAGUCUCAAAAGCAGCACUGAAUGCAUAUACGCGUAUUUUAGCCAAGAAGUUUCCUGGUUUUCGUGUCAACUCUGUCUGCCCUGGCUAUGUCAAAACAGAUAUAAACUUCAAUACUGGCGUAUUGCCUGUUGAAGAAGGCGCUGCAAGUGUAGUGAAGUAUGCAGUUAUUACAGGAUCAAACAAAGGAAUUGGGCUGGAAACUGUAAGGCAGCUGGCCUCAAAUGGAAUCACUGUGGUGCUAACUGCUAGAGAUGAGAAGAGAGGCCUUGAAACUCUUGAGAAACUAAAAGAGUCUGGCCUCUCAGGCCAUGGGUUUUCACCAACUGGAUGUUGCUGACCCUGCUAGUAUUACUUCUUUGGCACACUUUAUCAGAACCCAGUUUGGGAAGCUUGAUAUCUUGGUAAACAAUGCAGGGAUUGGCGGAUCAAUAAUCGAUGCUGAUGGUGCUAAAGCUGCAGUUGCAGCUGGGGGACCAAUUGAUUGGAAAAAGCUUGUGACAGAAACUUAUGAAUUAACAGAAGAAUGCUUGCAAAUCAAUUAUUAUGGAGCUAAAAGAACAUCCGAAACUCUUAUCCCACUCCUCGAGCUACCUGAUUCACCAAGAAUAGUUAAUGUUUCAUCCUCUAUGGGGAAGUUAAAGUACAUGCCCAGCGAUAGAGUUAAAGGAAUUUUCACUAAUUUAGAGAACCUGAAGGAAGAUAGUAUAGAUGAAGUAUUGACAGAGUUUCUCAAGGACUACAAGGAGGGUUCACUUUUAGCAAGGGAUGGCCUUCUUCUAUGUCAGGCUAUACAGUUUCCAAAACAGCACUAAAUGCGUAUACAAGGAUUCUAGCCAAAAAGUGCCCCGAUUUUCAUGUCAACUGUGUCUGCCCCGGCUAUGUCAAAACAGAUAUGAACUUCAAUGCCGGUGUUGUGCCGGUUGAAGUAGGAGCUGCAAGUGUAGUGAAUUUAGCAUUGCUGCCUAAUGAUGGCCCUUCCGGCCAAUUCUUUGUUCGGUCUGAAGUUAGUGAUUACUGA